Mastomys coucha (southern multimammate mouse) is the source of this 1141-nucleotide long non-coding RNA. RefSeq lists it as uncharacterized. NCBI's taxonomy places the organism in Eukaryota, Metazoa, Chordata, Mammalia, Rodentia, Muridae. The transcript has 4 exons. The record is from RefSeq and is a predicted model, not a curated record.
GCAGAACUUGUUGGUUAAGUAGGUCAGACAGUGUGGGGACAGAACUAAACCACCAGGGAUAAGAGAGAAGAGGCUGGGUUUGAUGCUUUCUACAUAGCUACCUGUCUCUGAUCCAGGCUGUCAUAUGCAAACAAAUAUGUAAGGAAUGUGGACUUGUGGAAUGAGCCAAUGGGAGCACCUUGGGUGCUCACCUGACAAGAGGAGGGUACUCCAGAACAAUAGAAGUUACAUUUGUCCUGAAUUGGCAAGAAUGAUAGCACAUGCUGCUAGAUAUGGAUCAUUUGAUAAAUCACCAGGCUGGGGUCUGGAAAUUGCUGGUGUCAAUCACAGUGUAUGCCACUGCUACUUGUAAGUGGAUUUGAAAUUGCGGAAUAAGAUGAGAUGGACCAAAGGCCCUGCUAAAUGGAGCUAAAUAUCUUCAGAGAACUGCUAUUUCCUUUAGCUGUCUCUCCACCCUUUUCUACUUCAGCUGGGCGUCUCCUCAGAGCAGAGUCAGCUGGGCGUCUCCUCAGAGCAGAGUGAGAGACACUUUCAUCCUCCUGAGAGAUGCUGCCUCCAGAGGAUGAAAAGCUUCCACGCUAGGGGCCAGAAGUUGGAUCUUUUAUGGAAUUUGCGAUUCAUCACCAAGAGCCCAAAAGAUUAAUUUGCUCCUCUUGUGUUUCUAAUCACAUGGGCCGUACUCUAGUACAUUAACAUUGUUUGAACAGACCUAGGAAGCUCACCUUCCCAACAAAGCAGCAGGAAACAGAACAUCUCUUUGGCAAAUUGUCGACUUCCUGGUCUAAGAAAAACAUCCCUUCAACUUAUACUGAGUCAGGUGGUAGAAGAUGGCUAGAACGCAUGGAUGCCAAUAAGAGAAAGGGGCAGUUGGAUUUUCUUUGUGGAGGGUGAGAACCAGUCAUAACUCCCAUAGCUGUCAUGAGUAGGAAUUGGGAUUCAGCCCAAGGGAAAACUUGCUGGCAUUUGGGGCCAGCUAAGGGCAGGAUCGACUGCCAUGGGAAUCUCUGAGUUUUUCUUGGUAAGUUACUAAACGGUGGAGAUAUAUGUCAAAUCCUAGAACAUACAGGAUGCCCAGAAUUCAUGAUCAUGUGAGAAUUGUUUGUCAUACUUAGAGAAAUGACUAGAACACAGUAGAUGCUCA